This 250-nucleotide ribosomal RNA is filed under the name uncultured bacterium. RNAcentral's name for it is "partial 16S ribosomal RNA". It matches the Rfam family "Bacterial small subunit ribosomal RNA", at positions 524 to 773 of the family's 1533-position model. The record is from RNAcentral.
GACAGAGGGUGCAAACGUUGCUCGGAAUUACUGGGCGUAAAGCGCGUGUAGGUGGAUUGGUGUGUCAGAUGUGAAAGCCCUGGGCUCAACCCAGGAAUUGCACCUGAAACUACCAGUCUUGAGUGGUGGAGAGGGAAGUGGAAUUCCUGGUGUAGAGGUGAAAUUCGUAGAUAUCAGGAGGAACACCAGUGGCGAAGGCGGCUUCCUGGACACCAACUGACGCUGAGACGCGAAAGCGUGGGGAGCAAAC